This 75-nucleotide transfer RNA is filed under the name Chloroflexota bacterium. Its description in RNAcentral is "tRNA-Met". It matches the Rfam family "tRNA". Rfam says of the family: Transfer RNA (tRNA) molecules are approximately 80 nucleotides in length. Their secondary structure includes four short double-helical elements and three loops (D, anti-codon, and T loops). The record is from RNAcentral. Lineage: Bacteria; Bacillati; Chloroflexota.
GGGCCCAUAGCUCAGCGGUUAGAGCGACUCCCUCAUAAGGAGCAGGUCGCAGGUUCAAAUCCUGCUGGGCCUACC